Molecule: ribosomal RNA, 420 nt
Filed under: Pseudonocardia sp.
Lineage: Bacteria; Bacillati; Actinomycetota; Actinomycetes; Pseudonocardiales; Pseudonocardiaceae
Description: bacterial SSU rRNA
Rfam family: Bacterial small subunit ribosomal RNA
Source: RNAcentral
CUUACCUGGGUUUGACAUGCACCAGACAUCCCUAGAGAUAGGGCUUCCCUUGUGGUUGGUGUGCAGGUGGUGCAUGGCUGUCGUCAGCUCGUGUCGUGAGAUGUUGGGUUAAGUCCCGCAACGAGCGCAACCCUUGUUCCAUGUUGCCAGCACGUUAUGGUGGGGACUCAUGGGAGACUGCCGGGGUCAACUCGGAGGAAGGUGGGGAUGACGUCAAGUCAUCAUGCCCCUUAUGUCCAGGGCUUCACACAUGCUACAAUGGCUCAUACAGAGGGCUGCGAGACCGUGAGGUGGAGCGAAUCCCUUAAAGUGAGUCUCAGUUCGGAUCGGGGUCUGCAACUCGACCCCGUGAAGUUGGAGUCGCUAGUAAUCGCAGAUCAGCAACGCUGCGGUGAAUACGUUCCCGGGCCUUGUACACAC